Non-coding RNA from Chiloscyllium plagiosum (whitespotted bambooshark), 930 nucleotides. Lineage: Eukaryota; Metazoa; Chordata; Chondrichthyes; Orectolobiformes; Hemiscylliidae. The record is from RefSeq and is a predicted model, not a curated record.
ACAGACCAUUUGGAGAUGUUCCUCAUGUCCUCUUUUAGUUUUAAUCCAUUGUUCUUUUGAGUUUUUCUACUGAAUCUACAUUCCCCACCUUUUCAUGCAGCACAUUCCAGUCACAACUCACCAUGUUUUAAAAAAACAGUAUAAUCACUUCCUUUUCAUCUUUUGCUGGUCACUUCAAAUCUGUAUCUUCAGAUUACCAACCUUUCCACCAGCAAAAACAGUCUAGGAUUGGACUAUUGAGUCUCUUGAGCCUCUUCCUGAACUUCUGUUAAAACGAUCAUGACUUUGAACUCUGUCAGUCUCAUCCUAGCUCUUUCUCUGUUCUAAGAAGUACAACUCUUCUGCAGUCUUUCCACAUUUGUUAAACCUGUUAUUAAUAAAAAUGCAAGUUGUUGUUAUGUUGUUACGUUUCCUGAUAACAGGAAACCUUGCAUUAAAAACUCCACUUCGUAACAAGUCAAUAGUUCUAUCAGAGUCUGCAGUUUGAAGCUCUCUGACGAGACUCCCAGACAAGACAAGUCAAACAUCUGGCACAGAAAGCAGAUCAUAAACAGACUAACUCAGGCACCACAGCUCAGGACUGCAAGGAUUCAAAGGCUGUCGUCAAGGAGCCUGUAGCACCCACGGCUGCCAAUGCAUCCUUAUAAACCUGUCAACACGCGAUAGGGUGUAUAUGUAUGAGGAAAUGACCAAUACCAUUAUAUGAAUUUAUGUGAAGACAACACUAACAGAUUGCAAGUGAAAAAAAUAAUGCAUGGUGCAGUUAAUGUGCAAGGGAAAUGAGCAGACUGUAUAGAUUCCCCUUUGCAAUGAAAAAUAAAUACUUGUGUCGGUUACCUGUUAGCAGUAGAUUUGCUCUCAUGCUCUGAGCUCAUAUAUCAAUUUUUAGUGGAAAGUGAUUUUUUUAAAAAGUUGAUAAGAUAAAUAUAC